RNAcentral lists this ribosomal RNA (279 nucleotides) under uncultured Staphylococcus sp. RNAcentral's name for it is "partial 16S ribosomal RNA". It matches the Rfam family "Bacterial small subunit ribosomal RNA", at positions 505 to 783 of the family's 1533-position model. Lineage: Bacteria; Bacillati; Bacillota; Bacilli; Caryophanales; Staphylococcaceae. The record is from RNAcentral.
GUGCCAGCCGCCGCGGUAAUACGUAGGUGGCAAGCGUUAUCCGGAAUUAUUGGGCGUAAAGCGCGCGUAGGCGGUUUUUUAAGUCUGAUGUGAAAGCCCACGGCUCAACCGUGGAGGGUCAUUGGAAACUGGAAAACUUGAGUGCAGAAGAGGAAAGUGGAACUCCAUGUGUAGCGGUGAAAUGCGCAGAGAUAUGGAGGAACACCAGUGGCGAAGGCGACUUUCUGGUCUGUAACUGACGCUGAUGUGCGAAAGCGUGGGGAUCAGACAGGAUUAGAU